This is a long non-coding RNA of Oryzias melastigma (Indian medaka), 1606 nucleotides long. RefSeq lists it as uncharacterized. The record is from RefSeq and is a predicted model, not a curated record. NCBI's taxonomy places the organism in Eukaryota, Metazoa, Chordata, Actinopteri, Beloniformes, Adrianichthyidae. The transcript is spliced from 2 exons.
GCUUCACCGCCACCGAGGAACUCUGGGAAUUGUUGUUCACGUGGGACAGAAAUCCAAACAGUUCCUGCCGAAGCGAACUACAACUCCCAAGCCGCAAAGAGAAGUUGGACAGAAAAAACGUAAGAUGACGCUUUUAAGCACACGCCGUUGUUUUUUCAGGUUAACUUUAUUUAUUUAACUUUGUUUUUUUUCUUUCUUUUUAUUUUUGCUAUGCUAGUCGUCUAACUUGCAGUAGCGUGUUAGCUAAAGCGGAUAAGCUGCAGAGUCCUCAGCUCUGGAAAAAAAAAACAAAGAGCUCCAACUCCCCCAUCCAGCUCGUCUUGGCCCUGGUCUCUCUUCCAGGUCGUCUGCUGCACGGAUCUCAAUCCUUCCAUUUUUUUGAACAAAACGGUGAUGAAGCAUCUGGAUCUCAGAGAUGAUGACAUAGGCAAUGAAUGUGCAUCGCACUAUUCAUCUUGUACAUUAAUUACAUAUUUAAUGUAAUUAAAUUAUUAUAACUUUUUAUUUUUUUUUGCAGAUCACACGAAUCUUUUCUGUCAUUAUGACUAUUAUUAUAAUCUUAUUGAGAUUAUAAAUCAAAAACAAAAUAUUGUUUAAAAAUGGCUGGAUUGCAGCAAAUUAUUAUUAAAAAAAAGACUAAAACUGUGAUAUUUGGUAACCAGAGAAUGUUGACCAACAAAUAAAUACAAAAUUGAACAAAUAGCAACAACAAAUAUUAAUAGAAACUGUACAAGAGAGCAAGUUUUUAGGAUUAAUAAUUGACAGAAAACACAUUAGACACAAAAAAACAAAAAUCUCCAAAAACCUUUAAAUAAUAAACAAAGUUUCAAUUACAGGGUUAUGCAAAUGCAGUCUAAAUAAAACCUAUUCAGUGUGGGUUUGGCAGGAGCAGAGACAAUUUUGUAUCUUGUAGAGCACAACAAAAGCCGUUUCCUGAUCAAAUGUAUUUCACUUUUAUUAAUAUACAUAUACAUAUAUACCAAUCAAAUACAUUGAUAACAACAUAAGUUAUGAAGUUCAAAAACACACUUGAAUACUUUUCCUCAGCCUUUUUGUCACUCGUCUCCUAGAACCUCCAGUUUCUGUUCAGGAAACAGAAGAGUGGGGCACCAAUAUGAUAUCUCAUGUUAUGUUAUUGUUGUUGGGUUCAGCUGUGACAUUCACUUUUGAAACCCAACUGCAACCCUCCACUAAGCCACACUUCCAUCUCCACAAUCCACUGCCUGAGUAAGUUUAAAAUGGAGCAGCACUGUGUCUGAAAGAUAUAACUACUGAAACUAAUAAAACUUUAAAUAAAAGUUUGAUAAAUAAUUAAAACAUCAACGUGAUCAAUGGCUGGAAGGAGCUGAACUGAUUUUUAUGUCUUGGACUAAUCAUAAGUUACAUGUUUGAGCAGUUAAAAGAUUAAAUUCUCAUUAAACAAGGUGGGCACUAUUCUUUUAUAGCUUUAGCUUACCAUAAAAUAUCAACCACUUGCUCAAAAUGUGGAAACCGAUGCUGCUGUGGACUGGUAUUGUGGAGGAGCCAAAGUGCAGGAGAACCAGAGGCAGAAACUUGGAAGAAUUUAUUAAAAACAUUAAAACAUCCGACUAAAAAAGAAAAAAAA